RNAcentral lists this ribosomal RNA (850 nucleotides) under Cystofilobasidium macerans. RNAcentral describes it as "eukaryotic LSU rRNA". The stretch from base 221 to 850 matches the Rfam family "Eukaryotic large subunit ribosomal RNA", at positions 1 to 620 of the family's 3401-position model. The record is from RNAcentral. Lineage: Eukaryota; Fungi; Basidiomycota; Tremellomycetes; Cystofilobasidiales; Cystofilobasidiaceae.
UUCUUUAAUUAGAGGUGUUGGGGCGUGGACGUGAGUGCUGCUGGUGCCCUGGUUGCAUCGGCUCACUUGAAAUAUGUUAGCUGACUCCUCUAGAGGUGGUUCUACUCGACGUGAUAAGAUCUCCGUCGAGGACAGUGCAACUUGUUGUGCUGGCCGCUCCUAGCAGUUGACGUCGCUUCUAAUUAGCGCAGACUUCGAGUGCUGGCAACUUUUGACAACUUGGCCUCAAAUCAGGUAGGACUACCCACUGAACUUAAGCAUAUCAAUAAGUGGAGGAAAAGAAACUAACAAGGAUUCCCCUAGUAACGGCGAGUGAAGCGGGAAGAGCUCAAAUUUAAAAUCUGGCAGGCUACGCUUGUCCGAAUUGUAAUCUCGAGAAGUGUUUUCCGCGUUGGCCUGUGUACAAGUCCCUUGGAACAGGGCGUCAUAGAGGGUGAGAAUCCCGUCCUUGACACAGACACCCAAUGCUUUGUGAUACACUCUCAAUGAGUCGAGUUGUUUGGGAAUGCAGCUCAAAAUGGGUGGUAAAUUCCAUCUAAAGCUAAAUACUGGCGAGAGACCGAUAGCGAACAAGUACCGUGAGGGAAAGAUGAAAAGCACUUUGGAAAGAGAGUCAAACAGUACGUGAAAUUGUUGAAAGGGAAACGAUUGAAGUCAGUCGUGCCUGCCUAGUCUCAGCCUUUUGGUGUACUACUAGGUCGGCAGGUCAGCAUCAGUUUGGGAGGAUUAACAAGGGAGUUAGGAAUGUGGCAACCUCGGUUGUGUUAUAGCCUAGCUUCGCAUUGAUCUUGCUGGACUGAGGAACGCAGUGCGCCCGCAAGGGUUGGUCUUCGGACACAUCGCACUAGGA